Molecule: ribosomal RNA, 253 nt
Filed under: uncultured bacterium
Lineage: Bacteria
Description: partial 16S ribosomal RNA
Rfam family: Bacterial small subunit ribosomal RNA
Source: RNAcentral
UACGUAGGGUGCGAGCGUUAAUCGGAAUUACUGGGCGUAAAGCGUGCGUAGGCGGUUCUCCAAGUCCGUUGUGAAAGCCCCGGGCUCAACCUGGGAAUGGCAGUGGAAACUAGGGGACUGGAAUCUGGCAGAGGGGGGUGGAAUGCCGCGUGUAGCAGUGAAAUGCGUAGAGAUGCGGCGGAACACCGAUGGCGAAGGCAGCCCCCUGGGCUGAGAUUGACGCUGAGGAGCGAAAGCGUGGGGAGCGAACAGG